GGGCUUGUGGCGGAAUGGUAUACGCGUACGCUUGAGGUGCGUAUGUCGCAAGACGUGGAGGUUCAAGUCCUCUCAAGCCCA
Molecule: transfer RNA, 81 nt
Filed under: Candidatus Levyibacteriota bacterium
Lineage: Bacteria; Candidatus Levyibacteriota
Description: tRNA-Leu
Rfam family: tRNA
About the family: Transfer RNA (tRNA) molecules are approximately 80 nucleotides in length. Their secondary structure includes four short double-helical elements and three loops (D, anti-codon, and T loops). Further hydrogen bonds mediate the characteristic L-shaped molecular structure. tRNAs have two regions of fundamental functional importance: the anti-codon, which is responsible for specific mRNA codon recognition, and the 3' end, to which the tRNAs corresponding amino acid is attached (by aminoacyl-tRNA synthetases). tRNAs cope with the degeneracy of the genetic code in two manners: having more than one tRNA (with a specific anti-codon) for a particular amino acid; and 'wobble' base-pairing, i.e. permitting non-standard base-pairing at the 3rd anti-codon position.
Source: RNAcentral